RNAcentral lists this ribosomal RNA (429 nucleotides) under Verrucomicrobiota bacterium. RNAcentral's name for it is "Verrucomicrobia bacterium partial 16S ribosomal RNA". It matches the Rfam family "Bacterial small subunit ribosomal RNA", at positions 355 to 776 of the family's 1533-position model. The record is from RNAcentral. Lineage: Bacteria; Pseudomonadati; Verrucomicrobiota.
UGGGGAAUCUUCCGCAAUGGGCGAAAGCCUGACGGAGCAACGCCGCGUGAGUGAAGACGGCCUUCGGGUUGUAAAACUCUGUGAUUCGGGACGAAAGAUAAGCAGACGAAUAAUCUGCAUAAGUGACGGUACCGAAAAAGCAAGCCACGGCUAACUACGUGCCAGCAGCCGCGGUAAUACGUAGGUGGCAAGCGUUGUCCGGAAUUAUUGGGCGUAAAGCGCGCGCAGGCGGACUAGCCAGUCAGUCUUAAAAGUUCGGGGCUUAACCCCGUGAUGGGAUUGAAACUACUAGUCUAGAGUAUCGGAGAGGAAAGUGGAAUUCCUAGUGUAGCGGUGAAAUGCGUAGAUAUUAGGAAGAACACCAGUGGCGAAGGCGACUUUCUGGACGAACACUGACGCUGAGGCGCGAAAGCCAGGGGAGCGAACGGG